GAUGAACGCUGGCGGCGUGCCUAAUACAUGCAAGUCGAGCGAACGGACGAGAAGCUUGCUUCUCUGAUGUUAGCGGCGGACGGGUGAGUAACACGUGGAUAACCUACCUAUAAGACUGGGAUAACUUCGGGAAACCGGAGCUAAUACCGGAUAAUAUUUUGAUCUGCAUGGUUCAAAAGUAAAAGACGGUCUUGCUGUCACUUAUAGAUGGAUCCGCGCUGCAUUAGCUAGUUGGUAAGGUAACGGCUUACCAAGGCAACGAUGCAUAGCCGACCUGAGAGGGUGAUCGGCCACACUGGAACUGAGACACGGUCCAGACUCCUACGGGAGGCAGCAGUAGGGAAUCUUCCGCAAUGGGCGAAAGCCUGACGGAGCAACGCCGCGUGAGUGAUGAAGGUCUUCGGAUCGUAAAACUCUGUUAUUAGGGAAGAACAUAUGUGUAAGUAACUGUGCACAUCUUGACGGUACCUAAUCAGAAAGCCACGGCUAACUACGUGCCAGCAGCCGCGGUAAUACGUAGGUGGCAAGCGUUAUCCGGAAUUAUUGGGCGUAAAGCGCGCGUAGGCGGUUUUUUAAGUCUGAUGUGAAAGCCCACGACUCAACCGUGGAGGGUCAUUGGAAACUGGAAAACUUGAGUGCAGAAGAGGAAAGUGGAAUUCCAUGUGUAGCGGUGAAAUGCGCAGAGAUAUGGAGGAACACCAGUGGCGAAGGCGACUUUCUGGUCUGUAACUGACGCUGAUGUGCGAAAGCGUGGGGAUCAAACAGGAUUAGAUACCCUGGUAGUCCACGCCGUAAACGAUGAGUGCUAAGUGUUAGGGGGUUUCCGCCCCUUAGUGCUGCAGCUAACGCAUUAAGCACUCCGCCUGGGGAGUACGACCGCAAGGUUGAAACUCAAAGGAAUUGACGGGGACCCGCACAAGCGGUGGAGCAUGUGGUUUAAUUCGAAGCAACGCGAAGAACCUUACCAAAUCUUGACAUCCUUUGACAACUCUAGAGAUAGAGCCUUCCCCUUCGGGGGACAAAGUGACAGGUGGUGCAUGGUUGUCGUCAGCUCGUGUCGUGAGAUGUUGGGUUAAGUCCCGCAACGAGCGCAACCCUUAAGCUUAGUUGCCAUCAUUAAGUUGGGCACUCUAAGUUGACUGCCGGUGACAAACCGGAGGAAGGUGGGGAUGACGUCAAAUCAUCAUGCCCCUUAUGAUUUGGGCUACACACGUGCUACAAUGGACAAUACAAAGGGCAGCGAAACCGCGAGGUCAAGCAAAUCCCAUAAAGUUGUUCUCAGUUCGGAUUGUAGUCUGCAACUCGACUACAUGAAGCUGGAAUCGCUAGUAAUCGUAGAUCAGCAUGCUACGGUGAAUACGUUCCCGGGUCU
Molecule: ribosomal RNA, 1372 nt
Filed under: uncultured bacterium
Lineage: Bacteria
Description: bacterial SSU rRNA
Rfam family: Bacterial small subunit ribosomal RNA
Source: RNAcentral